This 216-nucleotide non-coding RNA is filed under the name Lachnospiraceae bacterium. RNAcentral describes it as "T-box sequence". It matches the Rfam family "T-box leader". From Rfam's summary of the family: Uncharged tRNA acts as the effector for transcription antitermination of genes in the T-box leader family. The record is from RNAcentral. Lineage: Bacteria; Bacillati; Bacillota; Clostridia; Lachnospirales; Lachnospiraceae.
GAGAACACGUUGAAGAGAAGAGUAGAGUGUGAAAGCGGCGACAGAGAGGGAAUCAUCAGCUGAAAGCUUCCUGCCGGGGAAACAUUUGAAGACCACCUCGGAGUGGCUGUAAACCAGCCCGGUGAUUCCGUUAUCAUCAUAAAUGAGCGGCUUUGUAUAUCCGAAAAAGGAGUGCAGAGCAAGUUAGGGUGGAACCGCGAGAUACUCGUCCCUUUC